This is an RNA transcript of Pistacia vera, 1332 nucleotides long. RefSeq lists it as uncharacterized. The transcript has 14 exons. The record is from RefSeq and is a predicted model, not a curated record. NCBI's taxonomy places the organism in Eukaryota, Viridiplantae, Streptophyta, Magnoliopsida, Sapindales, Anacardiaceae.
GAAUAAUAAAAGAGUUUGGUGAGAGUAGAGCGUAGAGAGGUAACGUGUAAAGAAGAUGAUGACUAUGGAAGUUCCAUGGACCUCUUCGUUAUUUUCAAGCAUAUAUACCAUUAAUAAAACCUCUUACUCUUCUUCAAUGUUACGCUUCUCCAUUUCUAGAACACUUUCUUCCUUCUCUUCUCGCUCUCGUCCUCUUUUUAUGGCCUCCGCUUCUCGGUUUUCACCUCAGGCUGUGUCAACUGGGGGUGUAACUAGUGAUGCCAGUGUCUUCCAAUUGAUUCAAACUCACCAGGAAACUGCAAUUCGGCUUCCUCCAGUUGAGGAAAUUCGAACUGUACUUGAUUGCAAUGUGCGCGGCAUGCUUUCCACUUUUUCUCAGAAGUAUGAGGGUUAUCCAUCGGGUUCGAUGGUUGACUUUGCAUGUGUUGCUGAUGGAUCUCCAAUAUUAGCUGUCAGCAGCCUGGCUGUUCAUACAAAGGACCUGUUAGCUAAUCCCAAAUGUUCAUUGGUUGUUGCUAGAGAUCCAGAAGAUAGAACUGAUUUAGUAAUUACCCUGCAUGGGGAUGCUCUUUUUGUUCCUGAAAAAGAUAUAGCAACCAUUCGAGCUGCCUAUUUGGCUAAGCAUCCCAAUGCAUUCUGGGUUGACUUUGGUGACUUCCAAUUUUUGCGCAUUGAACCAAAGGUUGUUCGGUAUGUGUCAGGUGUUGCAACUGCUCUAUUGGGGUCUGGAGAGUUCAGCAGAGAGGAGUACCAAGCUUCAAAAGUUGAUCCAAUAGCUCAGUUUUCUAAGCCUGUUGCGUCGCACAUGAACAGGGAUCAUGCUGAAGAUACAAGACUCAUUGUGCAACACUCAACAUCAAUUCCGGUGGACUCUGCUUACAUGCUGGAUUUGGAUAGUCUUGGAUUCUAUGUUAAGGCGGGUUAUGAAGGAAAUACUUUCAAGCUCCGAAUUCCUUUUCCAAGACGCGCAGAAGAUAGAAAGGACGUGAAGACCCUAAUAGUGGAAAUGCUUCAAGCUGCCAAGUCUCGAGCUAAAUGAGCCCACUGUGAAAGAGAACAAACAGCAAAUUCUUAUUGCCUGUAUCCGUAAACAUACUCAGUAACCCACUUCCUAUAUCACAUCGCAAUCGCUUUCUAGUGGAUAUUGACAAAUUGGACAGGGAAGAUGUCCAAAUAAAGAUGCAAAUGCUCAUCGACACUGUCAUGUUCAGAAAUUUUUAUGUGUGUACUACUGUAGUUAAAAAUUAGACAGAAAAACAAUAUAUAUAGAAGUAAUCGGUUGUUAAAAAAAAAAAAAAUUAUGUUAGUUUCUGUUGAUUGUAUAAUUUCAUU